CAGCCGCCGCGGGAAUACGAAGGGGGCUAGCGUUGCUCGGAAUGACUGGGCGUAAAGGGCGCGUAGGCGGUUUAUACAGUCAGAUGUGAAAUUCCUGGGCUCAACCUGGGGACUGCAUUUGAUACGUAUGGACUUGAGUGGAGAAGAGGGUCGUGGAAUUUCCAGUGUAGAGGUGAAAUUCGUAGAUAUUGGAAAGAACACCGGUGGCGAAGGCGGCGACCUGGUCUUUAGCUGACGCUGAGGCGCGAAAGCGUGGGGAGCAAACAGGAUUAGAUACCCCUGUAGUCCCUGUCUCUUAUAC
Molecule: ribosomal RNA, 301 nt
Filed under: uncultured bacterium
Lineage: Bacteria
Description: partial 16S ribosomal RNA
Rfam family: Bacterial small subunit ribosomal RNA
Source: RNAcentral